GUAUUCUUUAAAAGAUUGUGUUAAUGGUUGCUGAUUAUCCUGAAAUGAACGACAGAACUUACAUGUAAAUUCAUGACAAGUACAGUAGUAAUAAUUCUAAAGUCUGUAAAAACUCGGCUGAGAGUACUAAUACUAGUACAAAGUUAACAGCU
Molecule: long non-coding RNA, 152 nt
Filed under: Amphimedon queenslandica
Lineage: Eukaryota; Metazoa; Porifera; Demospongiae; Haplosclerida; Niphatidae
Description: uncharacterized LOC109588140, transcript variant X1
Source: RNAcentral